CUAUUCCAAUUCCAAAAACGUGAUACCUCUCUUUCUAUCGAUUUGUUUCUUCUUCCUCUACAUCUUCAUACAAAAUUGUUUCUUCUUCUAUCGAUUUUUUUCAAUUUUUUUCAAGCGGUGUUGCUUGAGGUUCGUCAACGGUGGAUGACUUCACGUAUGGUGUCUGCGGCUACGUCGAUCUUGGCCGAAAGGGUGAUGCUCACGGUGAUUGGUUUUUCUUUCUCAUGACCCUUCACAGUGGUCGGGUUUGAUUAAACGUUGUUAUGUUGUUGAAUCGAUCUGUGGAAGCAGAGAGUUUUUAGGGAGUGGAGUUUGACUGAGAUAUAUGGAGUGAGAGAGGACUGAGGUUAACAAGAAAUCAGGGAUUGGAGGUGGACUCAGAAGUUGAGGGAAUCGUGGGAUUGAGGUGGCUCAAAGUCCCAAUUUUCCAGGCUUUUCAAAUAUGAAUCAUGGGGUUGUGAUUCAAAUCUUACUGAUUGUCCUUCUUUUCUAUAACCUUCAAGAACGAGGCAUGCUGAUAUUUGGCAUACAUGACAAUAAAGAAAAUGGAUGAAUAUAAGGUUUUAGCAACUAUUGGAGCGCCUGGAAAACAUGUGAAGACGCUUUAGUAGAACUGCUACUUCUUUCAGCAGCUACUGUCUCCGACCGUCCUCAUUAUCUAUUUUUUGGUUGGCUGAAUUUUCUGUUCAAUUUUCAUUAAUUGAGUAAUGAUUUUGGUUGGUUGAGUUUUCAAACAACCCCCUGCCAACAACCGUUUCUCCAACUCCGACCGAUUCGCACUCCUCAUCUCGCGGCCUUCCUAAAGUCUUUUGAUUUAAUUUUUUAUUUGUUUGGUGUUAAUGAUGCUCACGGGUUUGUGCGAUAUGUUGGAGCUUGUGAACACCUUCCCAUAAGAGAUGUCUCUGUUGGAAAGCAUGUAAAAUAUAUUCUCAGAAAAGAGUGUAUUUGAUUUUAGAGUUUGCACCUAAAGGUGAACUUUACAAGGCAUUAUAGAAAUGCAAAUGUUUUAGUGAAAGACGUGUAGCUACUGGAUUGCUAGAGGCUGUGGAUGGCAGCACAUAGGAGUUUAUGUUACUGCAUUAGCAUUUUGAGUUCAAGUGGGAGGAAAAGGACUUUGGAUUGGUAUACAAGUUGGAGCUUUUUUCAAUGCGUUCUUCUUUCUAUUAUAACAAGUUGUAUAAAAUGGGAGCAACGGGUAUGCUUUUGUUCAAUGUGUUCUUCUUGAACUAUAUUUUUGAAAGAUUCUUAUUGCAGUUUGACUCCCAGGGUGAUUUUAUUUAAAUAGUUAGCAUGUGCGUUGACUUCCAUUCCAUUGCAGUUUAUGGUCUUCGUUUGAUCUCCAUAUUUUAAAAUCUCUAGCUUACUGCAAAUGUAUUCAAAUAAAAUGAGAUUUGACAGUCGAACUAUUCUCUUAUCUACAUUGAAUAGUCAACCCAACAUUUUGUGAUUCAGGUUAUGUUGUUUCACAUUAUGUUGUAUGUUCUUUUUUAUCUGUGGUUAAUCAGCUAAAGUGCCAUAUAUUGUGUGGCAGUUCUCUACCAGUCUUCCCAAGUAUUGUUUUACACUUGCCCAAAGAAAUCUGAAAGACUUUUGUCAGGUGGUCACUUGGAGCUAUUAUGAAUGAAAUGCUGGUGGGAUAUCGACCUUUUUAUUUCAGACAUUCGACGAUCGCUGGCGGAAGUGGAGGAGAUGGUCCAACACAGACUUCUGCAUUACCGCAUUAAGGACUAUUUUGGCGGUGUAUGCGGACUAUCUUAAAUUUGAAUGCGGUAUUGCGGAAAAGUAUCCUCAAUUUGGCCAGCUGCAUAAUGGAGUGUUCAUGCAACAGGUUCAUAAAUGUGGAACUACUAAAGCCACUUAAAAAUGUGGUCCCUUGGUUACAAGAAAUAUUCACAUGGGAAAACCCAAUAAACAGUCUUGUUGUUCUUGUUGCAUCCCUAAUAAUCACCUAUAUAUAAUGGGUUGGAAAGGGAGUUGCAGCAUUCUUGGUAUGGGUGAUAGAAAGAUGCUUGAGAAAAGAAAGAAAAAGCUUAAUAAGCAGUGCAAUGAGAUAGUAACCAAUAGAUCUAAUAUGGCUUCUAAUCAAUCUACAAUGGAUAACAUUGUCUCAGCCCAACAUGGAUUAUACGCAGUUCAUGAGAUGAUGGAGAUAGCAAACAUAGCAAUGUUAAAGAUAUGGUCUAUACUUAUUUCAAAGGCUGACAAGACAUGGACUAAACCGAGAAUAUCAAGCUUCACGAGAUGAUACGAAGAAGUUCGAACUGAGUCAACAUUUCAAGUCCAAUUUCAAGUCAAGGUUCAGAGUUCCAUUUUCUCAUUUCUUUUUCAAGUUUAU
Long non-coding RNA from Vicia villosa (hairy vetch), 2335 nucleotides. RefSeq lists it as uncharacterized. The record is from RefSeq and is a predicted model, not a curated record. NCBI's taxonomy places the organism in Eukaryota, Viridiplantae, Streptophyta, Magnoliopsida, Fabales, Fabaceae. The transcript has 9 exons.